AUACCACCCUUUAAUGUUUGAUGUUCUAACGUGGACCCGUUACCCGGGUUGCGGACAGUGUCUGGUGGGUAGUUUGACUGGGGCGGUCUCCUCCUAAAGAGUAACGGAGGAGCACGAAGGUUGGCUAAUCCUGGUCGGACAUCAGGAGGUUAGUGCAAUGGCAUAAGCCAGCUUGACUGCGAGCGUGACGGCGCGAGCAGGUGCGAAAGCAGGUCAUAGUGAUCCGGUGGUUCUGAAUGGAAGGGCCAUCGCUCAACGGAUAAAAGGUACUCCGGGGAUAACAGGCUGAUACCGCCCAAGAGUUCAUAUCGACGGCGGUGUUUGGCACCUCGAUGUCGGCUCAUCACAUCCUGGGGCUGAAGUAGGUCCCAAGGGUAUGGCUGUUCGCCAUUUAAAGUGGUACGCGAGCUGGGUUUAGAACGUCGUGAGACAGUUCGGUCCCUAUCUGCCGUGGGCGCUGGAGAACUGAGGGGGGCUGCUCCUAGUACGAGAGGACCGGAGUGGACGCAUCACUGGUGUUCGGGUUGUCAUGCCAAUGGCACUGCCCGGUAGCUAAAUGCGGAAGAGAUAAGUGCUGAAAGCAUCUAAGCACGAAACUUGCCCCGAG
Molecule: ribosomal RNA, 607 nt
Filed under: Salmonella enterica
Lineage: Bacteria; Pseudomonadati; Pseudomonadota; Gammaproteobacteria; Enterobacterales; Enterobacteriaceae
Also listed under: 1 other name
Description: partial 23S ribosomal RNA
Rfam family: Bacterial large subunit ribosomal RNA
Source: RNAcentral